Molecule: ribosomal RNA, 842 nt
Filed under: Amanita rubrovolvata
Lineage: Eukaryota; Fungi; Basidiomycota; Agaricomycetes; Agaricales; Amanitaceae
Description: eukaryotic LSU rRNA
Rfam family: Eukaryotic large subunit ribosomal RNA
Source: RNAcentral
AACUGCGAGUGAAGAGGGAAGAGCUCAAAUUUAAAAUCUGGCAGUCUUUUGCUGUCCGAGUUGUAAUCUAGAGAAGUGCUGCCCGUGCUGGACCAUGUACAAGUCUCCUGGAAUGGAGCGUCACAGAGGGUGAGAAUCCCGUCUUUGACAUGGACUGCCAGUGCAUUGUGGUAUGCUCUCAAAGAGUCGAGUUGUUUGGGAAUGCAGCUCUAAAUGGGUGGUAAACUCCAUCUAAAGCUAAAUAUUGGCGAGAGACCGAUAGUGAACAAGUACCGUGAGGGAAAGAUGAAAAGAACUUUGGAAAGAGAGUUAAACAGUAUGUGAAAUUGUUGAAAGGGAAACGCUUAAAGUCAGUCGUGUCGGCCAGGGAUCAACUCAGUUGUUUCUGCUGGGUGUACUUCCUGAUCUGAUGGGCCAACAUCAGUUUUGACUGCUGGAGAAGGGUAGAGGGAAUGUGGCACCUCUGGGUGUGUUAUAGCUCUCUGUCGGAUGCAGUGGUCAGGACUGAGGAAAGCAGCAUGCCGCAAGGCUGGGUUUUUAACCACGUUCAUGCUGAGGAUGUUGGCAUAAUGGCUUUAAUCGACCCGUCUUGAAACACGGACCAAGGAGUCUAACAUGCCUGCGAGUGUUUGGGUGGCAAACCCGAGUGCAGAAUGAAAGUGAAAGGUUGAGAUCCCUGUCAUGGGGAGCAUCGAUGCCCGGACCUGAGCUUUUAGCAAAGGAUCUGCGGUAGAGCAUGUAUGUUAGGACCCGAAAGAUGGUGAACUAUGCCUGAAUAGGGUGAAGCCAGAGGAAACUCUGGUGGAGGCUCGUAGCGAUUCUGACGUGCAAAUCGAUCGUCG